UUAUUGGUACGUAUUCUCUCUUA
This 23-nucleotide non-coding RNA is filed under the name Arabidopsis thaliana (thale cress). Lineage: Eukaryota; Viridiplantae; Streptophyta; Magnoliopsida; Brassicales; Brassicaceae. The record is from RNAcentral.